RNAcentral lists this long non-coding RNA (637 nucleotides) under Salvator merianae (Argentine black and white tegu). RNAcentral describes it as "lncRNA (ENSSMRG00000014034.1)". Lineage: Eukaryota; Metazoa; Chordata; Lepidosauria; Squamata; Teiidae. The record is from RNAcentral.
AUCCAGGCCAGUUUUGCUUCAAAGCUGCAAUUCGGCAGUGCUCUAACCAGUGUCCUGCUGUAUAGAAUGACAAAGCACCAGACUGAUAUCCCUGAUGGAAGUAAUCAAGAAUGAUGAAUGUUCUGUCUGUGUCAGUGAUAGCCAAGGCAAGGUUUGUGUUUGCAAACAUAGAAGUCUUCACCAUAAUCCAGUGACUUGUGGACUCCAGAAGAGGAAAGUCCUGUGUAUCUGUAACUCCACUUCAUACCUAUAUGUCUCAGACAUCCGUUCUGUUUUCCAUCAAUUCCUCUCUCACCACCACUACAUAAAAAUCUCGUUAAAGAUGAACUUGCUUUGCUUAAUCUUCUGAUCCAUCUGCACCUUUCUGACUUUGUGCUGCAGCAAUGGCUUUUGUUAUAUGGCAGACUUGUGGCAAGAGAAAACUGCCAUUUUCAGGCAGUCUGUUGUGUAUUGAACUACGUGUACAGUCUUGUAUUCGUUGAAGAAAUAUAAUCCUUUUCAUACACUGAACAAUAGAUAAAUGUGCAUAACCUCAUUGCUUCUGUUUCAAAUUGAGUUCUAUUUUCCUUCUCCUGGAUAUGUUGUUUUCUUUCUUUCCACUUAUUUUUAGUAAUCAAUAAAGCCUGCCCUGAUACCA